This 785-nucleotide transfer RNA is filed under the name uncultured cyanobacterium. RNAcentral's name for it is "partial 16S-23S ribosomal RNA intergenic spacer". The stretch from base 241 to 313 matches the Rfam family "tRNA". The record is from RNAcentral. Lineage: Bacteria; Bacillati; Cyanobacteriota.
CAGGGAGACAACAAUUGAUCGUGAUGUCUAAAUUUAUUUUUUAGGCCAUGAUCCUGUCACUUUAGGUCGAUCGGUACCUCAGAUUGAGAAUUCUUGAUUGAACUCGAUUUCAGUUCCUAAACUUUGUCUAGGUCACACCCAACAAAAGGGUACUCCUGGGCCAUUAGCUCAGGUGGUUAGAGCGCACCCCUGAUAAGGGUGAGGUCCCUGGUUCAAGUCCGGGAUGGCCCAUUCGGUGUUGGGGGUAUAGCUCAGUUGGUAGAGCGCCUGCUUUGCAAGCAGGAUGUCAGCGGUUCGAGUCCGCUUACCUCCACUGAUCCAACCCCUGAUAACGAACGCUAAGGACGUUUUGUUUAUGUGAUCUAGCAUUUGCUCUAUAUGAACGAACCUAGCUUCUUGUCAUUCCUCAAAAAAUAUUUUUGUAUGGCUGAUAGGACGCUGGGCUCCCUGCAAUAGAAAUUGCGGCGGCGUUCAGUAGAACCUUGACAACUGCAUAGGUAAGUCUGGAAAAAAUAAAGCAUCUCAUGGAUGCAUUAUUUUUAAGUCAUUUAAUAGCAUUCUGAUUAAUUCUGAAUCUAUAAAAUAGCUUAAAAAGAUAAUGUCUAAUUCUUGAGUCAAGAGCCAAGACUCUAAUAACGCUCUUUCAUUUUUAUAAUGAGAGUUAGAUCUUGAAUUUAUUUUUUGGCUUUAAACUCUAGGAUAUUUAUAUCUUAGUAAUUUGAACUCAAAAUUAUUAAUAAAUCAAAGAGAAUCGUGCUAACAACACAGGCGUUUUAGAGAUUAAU